Molecule: ribosomal RNA, 433 nt
Filed under: Escherichia coli
Lineage: Bacteria; Pseudomonadati; Pseudomonadota; Gammaproteobacteria; Enterobacterales; Enterobacteriaceae
Description: bacterial SSU rRNA
Rfam family: Bacterial small subunit ribosomal RNA
Source: RNAcentral
CAAGCGUUAAUCGGAAUUACUGGGCGUAAAGCGCACGCAGGCGGUUUGUUAAGUCAGAUGUGAAAUCCCCGGGCUCAACCUGGGAACUGCAUCUGAUACUGGCAAGCUUGAGUCUCGUAGAGGGGGGUAGAAUUCCAGGUGUAGCGGUGAAAUGCGUAGAGAUCUGGAGGAAUACCGGUGGCGAAGGCGGCCCCCUGGACGAAGACUGACGCUCAGGUGCGAAAGCGUGGGGAGCAAACAGGAUUAGAUACCCUGGUAGUCCACGCCGUAAACGAUGUCGACUUGGAGGUUGUGCCCUUGAGGCGUGGCUUCCGGAGCUAACGCGUUAAGUCGACCGCCUGGGGAGUACGGCCGCAAGGUUAAAACUCAAAUGAAUUGACGGGGGCCCGCACAAGCGGUGGAGCAUGUGGUUUAAUUCGAUGCAACGCGAAGA